This 1075-nucleotide ribosomal RNA is filed under the name Pediococcus pentosaceus. RNAcentral's name for it is "bacterial SSU rRNA". It matches the Rfam family "Bacterial small subunit ribosomal RNA", at positions 370 to 1438 of the family's 1533-position model. Lineage: Bacteria; Bacillati; Bacillota; Bacilli; Lactobacillales; Lactobacillaceae. The record is from RNAcentral.
AAUGGACGCAAGUUUGAUGGAGCAACGCCGCGUGAGUGAAGAAGGGUUUCGGCUCGUAAAGCUCUGUUGUUAAAGAAGAACGUGGGUAAGAGUAACUGUUUACCCAGUGACGGCAUUUAACCAGAAAGCCACGGCUAACUACGUGCCAGCAGCCGCGGUAAUACGUAGGUGGCAAGCGUUAUCCGGAUUUAUUGGGCGUAAAGCGAGCGCAGGCGGUCUUUUAAGUCUAAUGUGAAAGCCUUCGGCUCAACCGAAGAAGUGCAUUGGAAACUGGGAGACUUGAGUGCAGAAGAGGACAGUGGAACUCCAUGUGUAGCGGUGAAAUGCGUAGAUAUAUGGAAGAACACCAGUGGCGAAGGCGGCUGUCUGGUCUGCAACUGACGCUGAGGCUCGAAAGCAUGGGUAGCGAACAGGAUUAGAUACCCUGGUAGUCCAUGCCGUAAACGAUGAUUACUAAGUGUUGGAGGGUUUCCGCCCUUCAGUGCUGCAGCUAACGCAUUAAGUAAUCCGCCUGGGGAGUACGACCGCAAGGUUGAAACUCAAAAGAAUUGACGGGGGCCCGCACAAGCGGUGGAGCAUGUGGUUUAAUUCGAAGCUACGCGAAGAACCUUACCAGGUCUUGACAUCUUCUGACAGUCUAAGAGAUUAGAGGUUCCCUUCGGGGACAGAAUGACAGGUGGUGCAUGGUUGUCGUCAGCUCGUGUCGUGAGAUGUUGGGUUAAGUCCCGCAACGAGCGCAACCCUUAUUACUAGUUGCCAGCAUUAAGUUGGGCACUCUAGUGAGACUGCCGGUGACAAACCGGAGGAAGGUGGGGACGACGUCAAAUCAUCAUGCCCCUUAUGACCUGGGCUACACACGUGCUACAAUGGAUGGUACAACGAGUCGCGAGACCGCGAGGUUAAGCUAAUCUCUUAAAACCAUUCUCAGUUCGGACUGUAGGCUGCAACUCGCCUACACGAAGUCGGAAUCGCUAGUAAUCGCGGAUCAGCAUGCCGCGGUGAAUACGUUCCCGGGCCUUGUACACACCGCCCGUCACACCAUGAGAGUUUGUAACACCCAAAGCCGGUGGGGUAA